This 253-nucleotide ribosomal RNA is filed under the name uncultured bacterium. RNAcentral describes it as "partial 16S ribosomal RNA". It matches the Rfam family "Bacterial small subunit ribosomal RNA", at positions 524 to 776 of the family's 1533-position model. The record is from RNAcentral.
GACAGAGGGUGCAAACGUUGUUCGGAAUUACUGGGCGUAAAGCGUGUGUAGGCGGUCAUGUAAGUCAGGUGUGAAAGCCCCAGGCUUAACCUGGGAAGUGCACUUGAUACUGCGUGACUUGAGUAUCGGAGAGGUUGGUGGAAUUCUCGGUGUAGAGGUGAAAUUCGUAGAUAUCGAGAGGAACACCGGUGGCGAAGGCGGCCAACUGGACGAAUACUGACGCUGAGACACGAAAGCGUGGGGAGCAAACAGG